GAUGAUGUGGGGUUUAGAGAAAUAGAAAUCAAUGCUUUGUAGUGGGACGCUUCUGUAUAGGAGAUAUAGAUUUCGGAUGCUCCGUGAGCCGAUAGAAUGUUUGCAUCAUUGUUCCAUUUAGAAUUUAGCCUCAACACAUCAACCAUGUGUUACAAGCACACAGUUCAUUCUCUGAAACACACGCACUAAACGAGUUUGCUAUGUUGAGAAGUGAUCGCAAGAGAAAUUCUGGCAGGGCAAAUCCCA
This 246-nucleotide long non-coding RNA is filed under the name Setaria italica (foxtail millet). RNAcentral's name for it is "long non-coding RNA (SITA_LNC004934)". The record is from RNAcentral. Lineage: Eukaryota; Viridiplantae; Streptophyta; Magnoliopsida; Poales; Poaceae.